RNAcentral lists this ribosomal RNA (440 nucleotides) under uncultured bacterium. RNAcentral's name for it is "bacterial SSU rRNA". It matches the Rfam family "Bacterial small subunit ribosomal RNA", at positions 355 to 792 of the family's 1533-position model. The record is from RNAcentral.
UGAGGAAUAUUGGUCAAUGGGCGAGAGCCUGAACCAGCCAAGUCGCGUGAAGGAUGACUGUCUUAUGGAUUGUAAACUUCUUUUAUACGGGAAUAACAAGAGUCACGUGUGACUCCCUGCAUGUACCGUAUGAAUAAGCAUCGGCUAACUCCGUGCCAGCAGCCGCGGUAAUACGGAGGAUGCGAGCGUUAUCCGGAUUUAUUGGGUUUAAAGGGUGCGUAGGCGGCCUGUUAAGUCAGCGGUGAAAUCUAGGAGCUUAACUCCUAAAUUGCCAUUGAUACUGGCGGGCUUGAGUGUAGAUGAGGUAGGCGGAAUGCGUGGUGUAGCGGUGGAAUGCAUAGAUAUCACGCAGAACUCCGAUUGCGAAGGCAGCUUACUAAGGUACAACUGACGCUGAAGCACGAAAGCGUGGGUAUCAAACAGGAUUAGAUACCCUGGUA